GACAGAGGUGCCGAGCGUUAGGCGGAAUCACUGGGCUUAAAGCGUGUGUAGGUGGAUGCCUAAGUACCUUGUGAAAUCCCACGGCUUAACCGUGGAACUGCUUGGUAUACUGGGUGUCUUGAGCCAGCUAGGGGCUACCGGAACAAAUGGUGGAGCGGUGAAAUGCGUUUGAUAUCAGAAGGAACGCCGGUGGCGAAAGCGCUCGACUGGACCUUUCUGACGCUGAGG
RNAcentral lists this ribosomal RNA (228 nucleotides) under uncultured bacterium. RNAcentral describes it as "partial 16S ribosomal RNA". It matches the Rfam family "Bacterial small subunit ribosomal RNA", at positions 524 to 751 of the family's 1533-position model. The record is from RNAcentral.